CUCCUCCACGCUGGAACGAGGAGGAGGAGAAGAUGGACGGAGAGAGCCUCUCGGUGGGUCUCUUCAGCUGCUCUCAGGAAGGGUGAACGUCUGGAUGUGGCUUUUUGCCGGAAAUUUCGUGCUACGUCUCGCCAGUAACGCUGGAUGACUCAAGUGGACCAUCUGAACAACUCGAAAUGAAACCAACUCCAAAUAUUCAAGAUUAUCGUAAAAUAUCCACGAGAGGACGUACACGGUGAAGGAAACAGAGAGGAAGGUGAAGAGGAGGAAAAGGAGGAAGCGAAGCAUCAGCGGAGAAGCUGCGGAGCAGUCUUCUGGAUUCUCUGGUUUCCAUGGUUGGUCCUGGACGGCGUGGUAACGCCGUAACCGAUAACGGUACCCAGCUUCGACGGCGCUCACCAAUGUAAGAGUACUGUUAUUCCAACGAUGCAGCUGUCCUCUCUGUUCCACUCCUUUUCUCCUUUCGCCAUUCUUCUUCGUCCUUCUCGUUCUUCCCCCUUCUGGUAUUCGCCUGAGCAGUUCUAAACGCGGACCCAAGUCUGCUAAACAUCUCGUAAGAUCCCUCAUCAAUCAGCUGGGGAUUUCAUCAUUCCCUAUGUUCAUUCCUUUCUACCGUCUCUCAUCUGAUCAGACAUUCGUGGCAUUGAACUAUAUUUAGCAUGAAUUUUUAUUUUAAUAUUUUUGUAGAUGUAUAAGGUGUUUCAGUUAUCGUGAACAUUUUGUAUUUUUGUCGUCUGAGGGUUGUUAGGGUUACUUAUCGUUGAAUUCAUUUUCAUACAAUUGCAAAUGGCAGACCGUUGCUUCAUUGUGCGUUUAAGGUGCAUCAAUGUUCGACAUUAAUUUCUUAUUCCACGACAUAGCAAGACGAAAUUUCAUCACUUUCGCGUUUACGAGUGUCGUGAUUAAAGGAUGUAGACGAUCGUCAAUCGUGUCCAGUUAU
Molecule: long non-coding RNA, 940 nt
Organism: Osmia lignaria (orchard mason bee)
Lineage: Eukaryota; Metazoa; Arthropoda; Insecta; Hymenoptera; Megachilidae
Source: RefSeq, a predicted model, not a curated record